UACGGAGGGUGCUAGCGUUGUUCGGAAUUACUGGGCGUAAAGGGCGCGUAGGCGGCCGUUUGCGUCGGAUGUGAAAGCCCGGGGCUCAACCUCGGAACGGCAUUCGAUACGGGACGGCUGGAGACCGGGAGAGGAGAGUGGAAUAGCCAGUGUAGAGGUGAAAUUCGUAGAUAUUGGCUGGAACACCGGUGGCGAAAGCGGCUCUCUGGCCCGGUUCUGACGCUGAGGCGCGAAGGCGUGGGAGCAAACAGG
This 252-nucleotide ribosomal RNA is filed under the name uncultured bacterium. RNAcentral describes it as "partial 16S ribosomal RNA". It matches the Rfam family "Bacterial small subunit ribosomal RNA", at positions 524 to 776 of the family's 1533-position model. The record is from RNAcentral.